Molecule: transfer RNA, 73 nt
Filed under: Ilumatobacteraceae bacterium
Lineage: Bacteria; Bacillati; Actinomycetota; Acidimicrobiia; Acidimicrobiales; Ilumatobacteraceae
Also listed under: 1 other name
Description: tRNA-Glu
Rfam family: tRNA
About the family: Transfer RNA (tRNA) molecules are approximately 80 nucleotides in length.
Source: RNAcentral
GGCCCGUUCGUCUAGUGGCCUAGGACACCACCCUCUCAAGGUGGCGGCACGGGUUCGAACCCCGUACGGGCUG